GGUUGAUCCUGCCAGUAGUCAUAUGCUUGUCUUAAAGACUAAGCCAUGCAUGUCUAAGUAUAAAUAUUAUACAGUGAAACUGCGAAUGGCUCAUUAAAACAGUUAUAGUUUAUUCGAUAAUUUCUCCUACAUGGAUAACCGUAGUAAUUCUAGAGCUAAUACAUGCUGUCAAACCUGACUUCUUGGAAGGGUUGUAUUUAUUAGAUAUCCACUUGUCAACGGUGGAUGGAAGUGGGAUAUUGUGAGGAAGAAUGGAAAUAUGUUUUUUGAGUAUAUUAGUUUUCUAAAUACU
Molecule: ribosomal RNA, 292 nt
Filed under: uncultured eukaryote
Lineage: Eukaryota
Description: partial 18S ribosomal RNA
Rfam family: Eukaryotic small subunit ribosomal RNA
Source: RNAcentral